This is an RNA transcript of Pseudomyrmex gracilis, 1564 nucleotides long. RefSeq lists it as uncharacterized. The transcript is spliced from 3 exons. The record is from RefSeq and is a predicted model, not a curated record. NCBI's taxonomy places the organism in Eukaryota, Metazoa, Arthropoda, Insecta, Hymenoptera, Formicidae.
AAUAAAAAAAUUAAUAUAUCCACAAAUAAAUAUGUAUAUCUCUAUUCUUUAUUUUUGAGUAAAAUGAAUUAAAGUAUCACUGUAUUGGUUUUAUUACUCUCAAAGAUCACACGAUGAAUGCGUGUAGCAGACUGCAGUAUCUAAUAUUAUGCGGAUCUGAAAAACAACGACUGCGCUUGCGCAGUAUAUUUAGAGAUUAUUACAUCAGAGGGUCUUUUCUGAAAAAUAAAUAUUCGCACGUCUCUCUUUCAAAGAGUCAUAUUGAUCGCAUAGUAGUCUACAUCUGGUCAUAAUAGUCUCACAUCUGGAAUAUAAACGCAUCAAUUUGAGAACAGGUGCUACAUUCUCACGUUGAUACUUAAUUUUUUUUUACUGAAUUGUGCUCUUUCUCUCCCUCUACUUAUGUUGUAAUUUACAAUAAAAGGAAAAAAAAAAGUGUUUAUAUUGAGUGUGCCGACAAAAGGAUACGUGCAAUUUUCGUAAUUGUCUCGCGGUAAAACCCGUUUCGAUAUUCGAAAAAAAUGAUAUGCGUAGAAAACGAGAAUUUUAGACUUAAUCGAAUUCUGUUACUCGCAGUUGGCUUAUGGCCUUAUGAGCGGUCGCUACUUGUUCGAAUACAGUUUAUUUCAAUUUUUAGUAUCUUGAUAGCUUCCGUUGUAUUUCAAUAGAUUACAGCAAUCUGGACUUCAGAAUAUAAGAUUGAUCGUAUCAUCAAAAUUCUUUCUUGUGCAUUACCUUUUGCUCUGCCUGUGAUUAAAUACAUCGCAUUUAUGAUAAAUUCCUGCACUGUGAAAUAUUUACUAGAACAUCUUCAGCAUAUUUGUAACGAGCUCAAAGAUGAGAACGAAAUCGCUAUUAUGAGACAAUACGGGAACGACGCGACGCUUUUCACAACUAGGCUUUUACGUAAGACAAUUUUUUAAUUAUAUUAUUAGUAUCUCUUUAUAAAUAAUAUUAAUCAAGAUAAAACAGACAAAUAUUGCACAAUAAUGAUACAAUAUAUUUUAUUGCAUUUUUGUGAUAGAAUUCAUGCUCUAUCAAAAAACAUACCUUUUAUUUGAAAAUAGUCAACAAUUAAAUAAGUCUUUUGUUACAAACAUAUUUUAAUAAGAAAAUUAUAUUAUAUUAUUAUAUGAGUAUUUUCUAUGCUCAGUGCUUGCACUGGUUUCUGUAUGUUUUCUUAUUUUGCUACCAAUCUCGCCGCACUUACUGGACAAUAUUCUGCCUGCAAACGAAUCUCGACCACGUUUUGCAAUACCAAUUGUAACAUACUAUUUUGUCGAUCAAGAGAAGUAUUUUUAUCUAAUUUUGUUGCACAUGAUCGUUGCUCUUUGCAUCGGGAUAAUUGUGUUAAUGGCAACAGGAAGUAUAAUAAUAACUUAUCUCAAGCACGCCUGUGCAAUGUUUAGUAUUGUGAGGUGAAUAUAUAUACAAAAAUAUACUACAAAUAUUAUCCCUUCGUGGACAGAUCUCAAAAAUGACCUACAGACUGAGCCUGCAUGAGACCCGCGCGACUUUAAAAUUAAAUAUCUUUGCGAAAAAUCAAUAUUUUUUCAACUUUAUG